This 271-nucleotide ribosomal RNA is filed under the name uncultured prokaryote. RNAcentral's name for it is "partial 16S ribosomal RNA". It matches the Rfam family "Bacterial small subunit ribosomal RNA", at positions 524 to 794 of the family's 1533-position model. The record is from RNAcentral.
UACGUAGGGGGCUAGCGUUAUCCGGAAUUAUUGGGCGUAAAGAGCGCGCAGGUGGUUGAUUAAGUCUGAUGUGAAAGCCCACGGCUUAACCGUGGAGGGUCAUUGGAAACUGGUCGACUUGAGUGCAGAAGAGGGAAGUGGAAUUCCAUGUGUAGCGGUGAAAUGCGUAGAGAUAUGGAGGAACACCAGUGGCGAAGGCGGCUUCCUGGUCUGUAACUGACACUGAGGCGCGAAAGCGUGGGGAGCAAACAGGAUUAGAUACCCCCGUAGU